Molecule: non-coding RNA, 979 nt
Filed under: Cochlearius cochlearius (boat-billed heron)
Lineage: Eukaryota; Metazoa; Chordata; Aves; Pelecaniformes; Ardeidae
Description: 12S ribosomal RNA
Rfam family: Bacterial small subunit ribosomal RNA
Source: RNAcentral
AAAAGACUUAGUCCUAACCUUACCGUUAAUUGUUACCAGAUAUAUACAUGCAAGUAUCCGCGCCCCAGUGUAAAUGCCCUUAGCUUGUAAUUUUCGAGAUAUAGGAGCUGGCAUCAGGCACACCACUUGACGGUAGCCCAAGACGCCUUGUUCGGCCACACCCCCACGGGUACUCAGCAGUAAUUAACAUUAAGCAAUGAGUGAAAGCUUGACUUAGUCAUGGUAACCCUCUAGGGUUGGUAAAUCUUGUGCCAGCCACCGCGGUCACACAAGAGACCCAAAUUAACUGUAACACGGCGUAAAGAGUGGUACCAUGAUAUCGCGCCAACUAAGAUCGAAACGUAACUGAGCUGUCAUAAGCCCAAGAUACACUUAAGAUCACCCUCAAAACAAUCUUAGCGCCUAUGAUUAAUUAAACUCCACGAAAGCUAAGGUACAAACUGGGAUUAGAUACCCCACUAUGCCUAGCCAUAAAUCUUGAUACUUACCCUACUAAAGUAUCCGCCCGAGAACUACGAGCACAAACGCUUAAAACUCUAAGGACUUGGCGGUACCCCAAACCCACCUAGAGGAGCCUGUUCUAUAAUCGAUAAUCCACGAUACACCCGACCGCUUCUUGCCAGAACAGCCUACAUACCGCCGUCGCCAGCUUACCUUUUCUGAGAGUACAAUAGUGAGCGCAACAGCCCUAACCACGCUAACAAGACAGGUCGAGGUAUAGCCCAUGAAGCGGAAGAAAUGGGCUACAUUUUCUAGAAUAGAAAACCCCUACGGAAGGGGAUAUGAAACUAUCUCCAGAAGGCGGAUUUAGCAGUAAAACGGGACAAUAAUGCCCUAUUUAAAUUGGCUCUGGGGUACGUACAUACCGCCCGUCACCCUCUUCACAAGCUACCGAAAUUAAUAACUUAAUACAACAUAAAGCUAAAGAUGAGGUAAGUCGUAACAAGGUAAGUGUACCGGAAGGUGCACUUAGCAUACC